Molecule: long non-coding RNA, 1859 nt
Organism: Scleropages formosus (Asian bonytongue)
Lineage: Eukaryota; Metazoa; Chordata; Actinopteri; Osteoglossiformes; Osteoglossidae
Source: Ensembl
AACAGCUUCAUGCUCGUGUUCGUCCAGCUCGUCCUGGUCAGGAAGUGUAGUUCAGGCUGUGUGAGCUGCUGAUAGAAAAUUGAACAAAUAAAAUAAAUCAAAGCUCAACCGCAAAUGUUUAAUUGAUUGUAGGCUUCUCUAAAUACCUUUAACUUAACCCGUAAAUGAAAGGAUAAGACAUAUUGUGGCGCGCGGCAGCGCCGGCGUGUGUGUUUGGACGGGGCGAAGAAGGACGCGGAGACAGCGUUCAUAACGAAUGAUUUAUUCGAACACCGGCACAAAGGAAAUGAUGCUCUCGGCCCGAGGACUCCGUUUCUUCCAGGACCUGUGCUUACGGCCAGCCUGCCUAGCGCUCCUAGGUUCUCCCUCAACACACUGGCAGACACAGUCAACCCACCAUUUCCCCCCGAAGUGCCCCCAGCGGUUACAGACGUUAUUUACAGAUUUCCUAUAAUGCAACUAUUUACAUUAAAUCACUAACGCGGGUCGUUACAAUAUUAUGAUAGUGGAACGGACCGGCGGUGUAGACAUUCUCAAUCAUUCUAAUUGAGAAAUUCUAAGAUCCUCUUUUUUCCUCGUUUUCUACUUCCCUGCCCCUCUUCUUCUUCUGUCUCUUCUGUUCUCUUUCUUUGUCCAUCGAUUUUUGUUUACUGAAGUUCACGGAAAACGAUGAGUUACACUUGUGCCCAUGAUAAAGCGACGUACUGGUGGUGUAACCCUUCAAAUAUCUUUCAUAUGAGAAAAAAUGGGGCAAUCCAAAAUCAAGGUCUGGGACAGGUGGGAAUCUUCCAAGGUGCUUACGUCGUCCAGGGCAUGAGACAAGAGUCAGAAUCUGUCAAAUUAGACUGUAGGUCGGGAACAUGGAAUCUCAAGAACCAGGAACAACAAGGGCAAAGGGGCAAGGAAGACCAGAAAGGAGGUAAGAAGCGUGCGUGCAGCAUCUCAGGCAAGAAUGGUGAGAAUUUACAAGGUUCCAUGACCUGGUUAGUCCAUGUGGCUCUGCUUAUGUCCCAUUGCUCUGAUGAGGCACAGGUGUGGUUGUUUGGUCCGGUGGCGGCGGCAUGACACAGCGUUUACACAUUCAUUCAACUGUUUAUAUACUGUAUUUUUAAAAAAAAAACAGAACAAAGAAACAAGAGUCAUGAGGCCUUUUGCCUGAUCUCAUCUCCUCAAGUGUCUGUCAAUGGUGACUGAGCUUCAGCACUACCUGCUGCACCACUGUGCCGCUAUAAUGUGCUCCUGACAGUUCUUGACACUUUUUUUUUACUCAAGCACAUCAGUUAAUGCAAAAUACAGCUUAAACUUAGUCAUGUUUAAAGAGACGCAGAGAGAGAACUCAACAUUCCAGAAUUUUUAUUUCAUUACCGACAGUAGCUGAUACAAUAGCCCAAUGCCUUGGAACCAAUACUGUAUAUUUACAUGUGUAAAGUUCAUGGCAUCGUUCACCUUUCUGUCUAAGUGAUGUUUCGUAUCUGGUUUGAUCAACUGAUAGAAAAUAUAUUCAGCUUUGAAAUAAGUUAUAUUUCAUGGAAAUCGGUUGAGAAUUGCCCAAAAAAGAAGAACUUUUAGGAGAGAAAUUGAGAGCAUCCAGAGCCUUGUCCUGUUGUUGCAAGGUGAAUCACUUUAACCAGUAUAGUGGAAGACAUUACUGUCACGGUGCAGGCAUUUUUAUUUUGCAGGGCUUUCUAUUUAUGCCUACAGAUGGUGUUUUUAAAAUGAAAGCUUAGAAGUGAUUGGUCCAAACGGAGGAAGUGAUGCAGGACUGAUGAUUGUCAGCGAUGAGAUGACGGUCAGAGAUGAGAACUAAUGGUUGACAUCAGACCUGUAGAAGAAAUAAAAAUACACCAAAACCCUGUACA